This 248-nucleotide unclassified non-coding RNA is filed under the name Hevea brasiliensis (rubber tree). Lineage: Eukaryota; Viridiplantae; Streptophyta; Magnoliopsida; Malpighiales; Euphorbiaceae. The record is from RNAcentral.
GCUACAAGCAUUCGAGAAUUCUAUUAUUUUCCAUUUAAAAUGCAAUCCAAAAAACAAAUUAUAGGACCAACUUUAUUCCGUAAACCAAAAACAAACAGCAUAAAAACAUUCAUCUCAACUUAAUGCCUCAUCCCAUAUUAAUAAAAAUAUCAAAAUGAUAAAGUACCAAACAAGGAAAAAAAAAAACAAAAAAACUGAGUAAAUCUAGUUACUUGGCAAACAAUAGCAAGCUAUACACUAUUAGUAAG